Molecule: ribosomal RNA, 468 nt
Filed under: uncultured bacterium
Lineage: Bacteria
Description: partial 16S ribosomal RNA
Rfam family: Bacterial small subunit ribosomal RNA
Source: RNAcentral
GACGAACGCUGGCGGCGUGCUUAACACAUGCAAGUCGAACGGAAAGGCCCUGCUUUUGUGGGGUGCUCGAGUGGCGAACGGGUGAGUAACACGUGAGUAACCUGCCCUUGACUUUGGGAUAACUUCAGGAAACUGGGGCUAAUACCGGAUAGGAGCUCCUGCUGCAUGGUGGGGGUUGGAAAGUUUCGGCGGAUGGGGAUGGACUCGCGGCUUAUCAGCUUGUUGGUGGGGUAGUGGCUUACCAAGGCUUCGACGGGUAGCCGGCCUGAGAGGGUGACCGGCCACAUUGGGACUGAGAUACGGCCCAGACUACUACGGGAGGCAGCAGUGGGGAAUAUUGCACAAUGGGCGGAAGCCGGAUGCAGCAACGCCGCGUGCGGGAUGACGGCCUUCGGGUUGUAAACCGCUUUCGCCUGUGACGAAGCGUGAGUGACGGUAAUGGGUAAAGAAGCACCGGCUAACUACGUG